UGUGAACUUCGGGGUAGGCCUUUUGUG
Molecule: non-coding RNA, 27 nt
Filed under: Mus musculus (house mouse)
Lineage: Eukaryota; Metazoa; Chordata; Mammalia; Rodentia; Muridae
Source: RNAcentral